GAUGGUGUUCGCCCGUGCGGGCCAGAGAGCUAUCAUGGGCGGCACGGCUCGCCCCUUCGUCCAGUGUGAGGUCUCGGCCGUCGGCCCCUUCGCCAAGGAAGAACACAAGAAAUGCCACGGAGAAGCCUUAAAGAAGUUCCUGUCGGACCAAUUGCACGUGCGUGAGGAAAGAGUCGCUAUUCUGUUGAAGAAUCUCGACCGCUCGGACGUCUACUAGUCGAAGAGAGCAACAUUUCCUGGAACCUACAAGAUGCAAUCUUAGUUCCCAGGCCACCGUGUCAUUAUGAUAGCCGUAAUGACCGCACAUUUUCUCCAGUUUAAACUAUAUAUGUUCCGCAUGCGUGCAAUUGCCUAUAUAUCAUAACGGCUGACAUCAACCCAUGCAAUAUGUAAUUUGUCUUAAACUUAUCUCAAAUUAUUCCGUCCACCUUCCAACGUUUAAAAGAUACUUGGUAUUUCAAAUGUUUCAUAAUAUAUGUGCGUAACAACAACAAAUUACGAGCAUACAUGUUACAUAAAAAUACUAACAACGAUAUGUAUUACGUAAUUAGAAUACGACAGUCAUUAACUCCAGAUUAGUUCUCACAAACUCCAUUUUGAACAAAGUAUGACAUUACCGCAUUUCUGCGUAACAAAGAAUAUGCCGAUAUUGUGACUCAGAUAAGAUACUAACGUUAUAUAUUAUAUUAUACUAUAUAAAUUAUAUGGUAAAUAAAUACUACCAAUAACUGUGA
This is a long non-coding RNA of Branchiostoma floridae (Florida lancelet), 734 nucleotides long. RefSeq lists it as uncharacterized. The record is from RefSeq and is a predicted model, not a curated record. The transcript is spliced from 2 exons. Lineage: Eukaryota; Metazoa; Chordata; Leptocardii; Amphioxiformes; Branchiostomatidae.